CCACUGAACCCUAGCUGCCACCUACCGUUGUGGCCUGAUGCGCGCCGCGCACCUUGACCGAUGAAGACCGGCAUCCAGUGCCCGAGCGGCGGCCCUGAUCGGUGAGGACCGGCGCCCCGAGCGGCGGCCCUGAUCGGUGAAGACCGGCGCCCCGAGCGGUGGCCCUGGCCAUUGAAGAUCGACUCCCCAAGCGGCGGCCUGAAGACCCACGCCCCGCGCCACCAAUCCCAGCCUCCUGGAGGUCGCCCCGCUGCCUGUGACGCCGCCGUUUGCCGCCACCGCUCCACCUCCCGACGACCGGUUCAACAGUGCUGCAGUUCGUCACCGACACCUGCCUUCUUCCACACUGUUCGCCGGCUAGCCGCCUGCUGCCACUUUUGGUUGUCCACAUCGUAGCUGAAGAUGCUUUCUAUACUGGAAUCUGAACAUGAUGAGGAGCUGAAUGACAAAGGUGAUGCAUUUACGAGUGUAGAGGCAGAGGCAGAUGCAGAAGCAGGAGAUGAAUCAGUCCUAUGUAGCAUCAUUGAAGAUGAAGAUGUCAAAGCAAAAGUUGCUGAAGGUGCCAUUCCAGAAGCUGCUCAAGAUGACAAGCCAAAAGGACGGAAGCAAAUGGCAUCAAGAUCACAAAUUUGGGAGCAUUUCAUCAAAGUUUUUGACGACAAGGGGUUAGUGAAGGAAGGAAAAUGCAAGUAUUGUGAUCGACCAAUUCAAGCUACUACAUCAAUCCAUGGGACAACAGCAAUGCGCAGGCACUUUGGUACAUGCAAGCUCAAUCCGAAUAGGAAAGGGAUCCAAAUCAGACCACUUUGCAAGCAACUCCAGGAGAUGGCAUCAGCACUUGGAGAUACGGCGCAGAGAAAGUUAGGAAAGCAUUUUCUAUAAUGGUCAUAGAGGAUGAACUGCCUUUUGCAUUUGGUGAGAAAUCUGGAUUCAGAAAGUUCAUUUCAGUCGCUUGCCCCCGCUUUAGUCCACCAUCAAGAAGAACUUGUACCAGGGACACUGUCAAAAUCUAUCUAGAUGAGAAGUCCAAGUUGAAAAAGUUUUUCAAAGACCAUUGUGGAAGUGUGUGUAACCACUGAUUGUUAGACUUCUCAGCAGCAAGAUGGCUAUAUGGUAGUGACUGCACACUUUACUGAUGAAAAUUGGAAGUAUCAUAAGAAGAUUAUCAAUUUCAUAAUGGUGAAGGGCCACAAGGGGAAGGAUCUUGGGAAGAACUUGCAGAGAUGUUUGAUGGAAUGGGGGUUAGAGAGAGUUAUGCCAGUCACCGUGGAUAAUGCAAGCGCUAAUGAUGGCUGCAUCGUUCACUUGAGAAAGUGCUUGGUUGAGGCAAAAAUGAGCAUAGCCGCUGACUACUUUGGAAAUAUUUGGUGUUGAGUGUGGAGAGAAGGUGUGGUAUGCUGGUAACAAAUGUGUGCGUGAGUUGUUUGAAGAAUACCGAGUAAGAUUGACUACACCGGAACCAACAACACCAUCCAAUAUCCAAGUAACAAUAGAUGGAGGAGGAGCAAGUAUGAUGAAGGAACUAAUUGCAAGCAGGUUGAGGCAAAAUAAUAGUGGAGGAAGUGCAAGUAGUAAAUCUGAGCUUGAAAAAUACCUUGCCGAAGACUCUGAAGACCCUGACAAAAAAAUUGACAUCCUAGGAUGGUGGAAAGAGAAUUCAUCUAGGUUUCCAAUCUUGGCAAAUAUGGCUCGUGAUAUUCUUGCUAUCCCCAUUACAACGGUGGCUUCUGAGUCUGCCUUUAGCACAAGUGGACGCAUACUUGAUGACUUUAGGACAUCUCUAACUCCGUUUAUGGUACAAGCUUUAGUUUGUACGCAAGAUUGGCUGAGAAGGUCAACAGAUCCGGUCGACAUCAAGGAGAACUUGGAAGAAUUAGAAGUGUUAGAAAAAGAGUUGAUUGAAGAAUUUGGUGACAAGGUGAGGGGAAAGCGCAAGUUCAAUGCUGGUGUUGUUGCUUCUUCCAUGGCCAAGUCAAACAAGUGUGCAAGUUGACCAACAAUGUGACCUCCACGUCUACUCAUGGCUGAACUAAAAUCAUGUUGAAUGUAUGAUGUUUUAGUUAUCAUCUUGUGCUUGUGAUUUGUGACCUGAGACUUGAGAAUUGAGAACCGAGAGUGAGAGUGUGAGACCUUAAUGUCGUUGUUUGCUGCUGAACUGAGAUCAUGUACUGAACCUGGUUUAUUUCAUGUUAAGUGCUAUGUUGUCAAGUACUAUGCGGUGAAAGCCGAUGUACUGUACUCCAUGCAUAUUGCA
RNA transcript from Aegilops tauschii subsp. strangulata, 2254 nucleotides. RefSeq lists it as uncharacterized. The record is from RefSeq and is a predicted model, not a curated record. NCBI's taxonomy places the organism in Eukaryota, Viridiplantae, Streptophyta, Magnoliopsida, Poales, Poaceae.